Molecule: ribosomal RNA, 851 nt
Filed under: Gammaproteobacteria bacterium
Lineage: Bacteria; Pseudomonadati; Pseudomonadota; Gammaproteobacteria
Description: partial 23S ribosomal RNA
Rfam family: Bacterial large subunit ribosomal RNA
Source: RNAcentral
GGUCAAGUGAACAAGCGCAUCUGGUGGAUGCCUUGGCAGCUGAAGGCGAUGAAGGACGUGGCAACCUGCGAUAAGCCCCGGAGAGCCGGUCAACAGGCUUUGAUCCGAGGAUUUCCGAAUGGGGAAACCCGACAUUCGUGUCAUUGCGUACUGAAUCCAUAGGUACGUAAAGCAAACCCGGAGAACUGAAAUAUCUAAGUACCCGGAGGAACAGAAAUCAACCGAGAUUCCCUUAGUAGUGACGAGCGAAAGGGGACCAGCCCUUAAGUGAUUCGAGCGUUAGCAGAAGGUUCUGGAAAGGACUGCCACAGAGGGUGAGAGCCCCGUACGCGAAAACGCUUGAAGCAUGAAAUCGAGUAGGGCGGGGCACGUGAAACCCUGUCUGAAUAUGGGGGGACCAUCCUCCAAGGCUAAAUACUCUCAGCUGACCGAUAGUGAACCAGUACCGUGAGGGAAAGGUGAAAAGUACCCCUGUUAGGGGAGUGAAAAGUACCUGAAACCGGAUGCGUACAAGCAGUGGGAGCGAGAACGCAAGUUCGUCUUGUUAGUAUCGUGACUGCGUACCUUUUGUAUAAUGGGUCAGCGACUUACUCUUGCUGGCAAGGUUAACCAAUUAGGGGAGCCGUAGGGAAACCGAGUCUUAAUAGGGCGUUCAGUCUGCAGGAGUAGACCCGAAACCGGGCGAUCUAGCCAUGGGCAGGGUGAAGGUCAGGUAACUCUGACUGGAGGCCCGAACCCACCUAUGUUGCAAAAUGGGGGGAUGACCUGUGGCUAGGAGUGAAAGGCUAAUCAAGCCCGGAGAUAGCUGGUUCUCCUCGAAAACUAUUUAGGUAGUGCCUCUCGUAUCACCA